This 354-nucleotide ribosomal RNA is filed under the name uncultured bacterium. RNAcentral describes it as "bacterial SSU rRNA". It matches the Rfam family "Bacterial small subunit ribosomal RNA", at positions 22 to 356 of the family's 1533-position model. The record is from RNAcentral.
GCUCAGGAUGAACGCUGGCGGCGUGCUUAACACAUGCAAGUCGAACGAAGCGCUUUGGAUGGAUUUCUUCGGAUUGAUAUCCUUAGUGACUGAGUGGCGGACGGGUGAGUAACGCGUGGGUAACCUGCCUCAUACAGGGGGAUAACAGUUAGAAAUGGCUGCUAAUACCGCAUAAGCGCACAGUACCGCAUGGUACCGUGUGAAAAACUCCGGUGGUAUGAGAUGGACCCGCGUCUGAUUAGCUAGUUGGCAGGGUAACGGCCUACCAAGGCGACGAUCAGUAGCCGACCUGAGAGGGUGAUCGGCCACAUUGGGACUGAGACACGGCCCAAACUCCUACGGGAGGCAGCAGUA